RNAcentral lists this ribosomal RNA (372 nucleotides) under uncultured organism. RNAcentral describes it as "bacterial SSU rRNA". It matches the Rfam family "Bacterial small subunit ribosomal RNA", at positions 526 to 896 of the family's 1533-position model. The record is from RNAcentral.
CGUAGGUGGCAAGCGUUGUCCGGAUUUAUGGGUUUAAAAGGGUGCGUAGGCGGUCCUAUAAGUCGAGUGGCCUGAAACUAUCCCGGCUUAACCGGGAGGGUGGCAUUGAUACUGUAAGACUUGAGUAAAGUUGAGGUUGGCGGAAUUGACGGUGUAGCGGUGAAAUGCUUAGAUAUCGUCAAGAACACCUAUUGCGAAGGCAGCUAACUAAGCUUUAACUGACGCUGAGGCACGAAAGUGUGGGGAUCAAACAGGAUUAGAUACCCUGGUAGUCCACACUGUAAACGUUGAUUACUCGCUGUUGGCGAUACACAGCCAGCGGCUUAGCGCAAGCGAUAAGUAAUCCACCUGGGGAGUACGCCGGCAACGGUG